ACGGAGGAUGCAAGCGUUAUCCGGAAUCACUGGGUUUAAAGGGUGCGUAGGCGGUUCGUUAAGUCAGUUGUGAAAUUCCCCCGCUUAACGGGAGGGACUGCGAUUGAUACUGAUGAACUUGAAUCAGGUUGAGGUGGGCGGAAUGUGACAUGUAGCGGUGAAAUGCAUAGAUAUGUCAUAGAACACCGAUUGCGAAGGCAGCUUGCUGGACCUGUAUUGACGCUGAGGCACGAAAGCGUGGGGAGCAAACAGGAUUAGAUACCCUGGUAGUCCACGCCCUAAACGAUGUUUACUUGCUGUUCGGCCUUCGGGCGGAGUGGCGAAGCGAAAGCGAUAAGUAAACCACCUGGGGAGUACGCCGGCAACGGUG
Molecule: ribosomal RNA, 370 nt
Filed under: uncultured bacterium
Lineage: Bacteria
Description: bacterial SSU rRNA
Rfam family: Bacterial small subunit ribosomal RNA
Source: RNAcentral